CAGUCGCCGCGGUAAUACGAAGGGGGCUAGCGUUGCUCGGAAUCACUGGGCGUAAAGCGUGCGCAGGCGGUUAUAUAAGACAGAUGUGAAAUCCCCGGGCUCAACCUGGGACCUGCAUUUGUGACUGUAUAGCUAGAGUACGGUAGAGGGGGAUGGAAUUCCGCGUGUAGCAGUGAAAUGCGUAGAUAUGCGGAGGAACACCGAUGGCGAAGGCAAUCCCCUGGACCUGUACUGACGCUCAUGCACGAAAGCGUGGGGAGCAAACAGGAUUAGAUACCCGGGUAGUCCCUGUCUCUUAUAC
RNAcentral lists this ribosomal RNA (301 nucleotides) under uncultured bacterium. RNAcentral describes it as "partial 16S ribosomal RNA". It matches the Rfam family "Bacterial small subunit ribosomal RNA", at positions 509 to 807 of the family's 1533-position model. The record is from RNAcentral.